GACAGAGGUGCCGAGCGUUAGGCGGAAUCACUGGGCUUAAAGCGUGUGUAGGCGGACUUCUAAGUACCUUGUGAAAUCCCACGGCUCAACCGUGGAACUGCUCGGUAUACUGGUUGUCUUGAGCCACUUAGGGGCAGUCGGAACAGACGGUGGAGCGGUGAAAUGCGUAGAUAUCGUCUGGAACGCCGAAGGUGAAAACAGGCUGCUGGGGUUGCGCCGACGCUGAGACACGAAAGCCAGGGGAGCAAACGGG
RNAcentral lists this ribosomal RNA (253 nucleotides) under uncultured bacterium. RNAcentral's name for it is "partial 16S ribosomal RNA". It matches the Rfam family "Bacterial small subunit ribosomal RNA", at positions 524 to 776 of the family's 1533-position model. The record is from RNAcentral.